Oncorhynchus keta (chum salmon) is the source of this 558-nucleotide long non-coding RNA. RefSeq lists it as uncharacterized. The transcript has 3 exons. The record is from RefSeq and is a predicted model, not a curated record. Lineage: Eukaryota; Metazoa; Chordata; Actinopteri; Salmoniformes; Salmonidae.
AAACAUAUCCUACUCAGACCAAGUCAUCACAACACCCUGUAGGGCCAGCUUCCUGGACACAAACAUAUCCUACUCAGACCAAGUCAUCACAACACCCUGUAGGGCCAGGUUCCUGGACACAAACAUAUCCUACUCAGACCAAGUCAUCACAACACCCUGUAGGGCCAGGUUCCUGGACACAAACAUAUCCUACUCAGACCAAGUCAUCACAACACCCUGUAGGGCCAGGUUCCUGGACACAAACAUAUCCUACUCAGACCAAGUCAUCACAACACCCUGUAGGGCCAGCUUCCUGGACACAAACAUAUCCUACUCAGACCAAGUCAUCACAACACCCUGUAGGGCCAGGUUCCUGGACACAAACAUAUCCUACUCAGACCAAGUCAUCACAACACCCUGUAGGGCCAGGUUCCUGGACACAAACAUAUCCUACUCAGACCAAGUCAUCACAACACCCUGUAGGGCCAGGUUCCUGGACACAAACAUAUCCUACUCAGACCAAGUCAUCACAACACCCUGUAGGGCCAGGUUCCUGGACACAAACAUAUCCUACUCAGA